AAGACAAAAAUAAUUUAAAUUAAAAUUAUCCUCAAACAUUUAAUUUUUAAGUACCAAUAAAAUCAUGCUACAUGAUAAAAUUUUAAAUAUAUAUUAUACAAUACAGUCACUUUCACCUUUUCUAAUUUAAUUCAACUUUAAUUAAAUUACACAAAAAUAAUUAAAUUUUUAAAUGUUGAAACUAUAGCCCAGAAAAAUCAUAAGAAAAGAAAUCGGAAACCUG
Molecule: long non-coding RNA, 223 nt
Filed under: Gossypium raimondii (Peruvian cotton)
Lineage: Eukaryota; Viridiplantae; Streptophyta; Magnoliopsida; Malvales; Malvaceae
Description: long non-coding RNA (GRAI_LNC003583)
Source: RNAcentral